This 339-nucleotide unclassified non-coding RNA is filed under the name soil metagenome. Its description in RNAcentral is "partial contains 5.8S ribosomal RNA, internal transcribed spacer 2, and large subunit ribosomal RNA". The stretch from base 1 to 120 matches the Rfam family "5.8S ribosomal RNA", at positions 35 to 154 of the family's 154-position model. The record is from RNAcentral.
GAUGAAGAACGUAUUGAAAUGCGAUAAGUAAUGCGAAUUGCAGAAUUCCGUGAGUCAUCGAAUCUUUGAACGCACAUUGCGCCCUUUGGCAUUCCGAAGGGCAUGCCUGUUCGAGCGUCAUUUAUCAACCCUCAAGCCCGGCUUGCGGUUGGGUCCCGCCGUGGGCGACCACGGCGGACCCGAAAGGUAAUGGCGGUGCCCGUGGGGCCCUGGACGCAGCGAGCUUCUCGGCACGCGUCCCGGCGGUCCCCGGCGCCGUCUCCACCAAUCCACCACGCAGAUUGACCUCGGAUCAGGUAGGGAUACCCGCUGAACUUAAGCAUAUCAAUAAGCGGAGGA